This 484-nucleotide ribosomal RNA is filed under the name uncultured bacterium. RNAcentral's name for it is "partial 16S ribosomal RNA". It matches the Rfam family "Bacterial small subunit ribosomal RNA", at positions 30 to 507 of the family's 1533-position model. The record is from RNAcentral.
AUUGAACGCUGGCGGCAGGCCUAACACAUGCAAGUCGAGCGGAUGAGGGGAGCUUGCUCCUGGAUUCAGCGGCGGACGGGUGAGUAAUGCCUAGGAAUCUGCCUGGUAGUGGGGGAUAACGUCCGGAAACGGGCGCUAAUACCGCAUACGUCCUGAGGGAGAAAGUGGGGGAUCUUCGGACCUCACGCUAUCAGAUGAGCCUAGGUCGGAUUAGCUAGUUGGUGGGGUAAAGGCCUACCAAGGCGACGAUCCGUAACUGGCCUGAGAGGAUGAUCAGUCACACUGGAACUGAGACACGGUCCAGACUCCUACGGGAGGCAGCAGUGGGGAAUAUUGGACAAUGGGCGAAAGCCUGAUCCAGCCAUGCCGCGUGUGUGAAGAAGGUCUUCGGAUUGUAAAGCACUUUAAGUUGGGAGGAAGGGCAGUAAGUUAAUACCUUGCUGUUUUGACGUUACCAACAGAAUAAGCACCGGCUAACUUCGUG